RNAcentral lists this long non-coding RNA (1296 nucleotides) under Capra hircus (goat). RNAcentral describes it as "lncRNA (ENSCHIG00010006608.1)". Lineage: Eukaryota; Metazoa; Chordata; Mammalia; Artiodactyla; Bovidae. The record is from RNAcentral.
UAGUUGGAGGGGGAAUGUGGGAUUGAGGACUUUUUUUUUUUAAUGGGAAUGACUGGAAUGUAUUUAAAACUUGAUAAGAAGGGUCUAAUCAAGAAAGAGAAAGUUUAAACAUACAAGAACAAAAAACUAUAACUGACAGUGUAAUGUUCCUUAGGAGGAGGGAAUGGAAUCUAAAUGAGAAGUGCAUCCUGUGCUUAAUUGCUCAGUCAUGUCCGACUCUCUGUGACGCAGUGGACUGUAGCCCACCACACUCCUCUGUUCAUGGGGAUUCUCCACGCAAGAAUACUGCCAUGCCCUCCUCUAGGGGGUCUUCCCAACCCAGGGAUCAAAUCCAGGUCUCCCGCUUUACAAGCAGAUUCUUUACCGCCUGAGCCACCAGGGAAGGACAGGCUCUCAGUUUUAACAACAGGAAGGAGGAAAGGUGUAUAUGCUUUAUAUUCAGAAAUGGUGCUCCUAUUUCCUCUAUAAUGUUGGAGGUGAGGUUUGCUAUUGCCAAUAAGAAGAUAGAAAGAAGUGACCAGGGUUUUGAGAAAUUUGAGAUGUUAAAGUUUGAAACACCUGUUUUAGAGCAAAACUGACUCAAGUAUAAAGGGCACAAAUAAACUGCUCUCAGGGAAAUGUUGUUCCCAGUGACUUUCCUGAGAAAUAUAUUACAGAAUGAGCUUUAGACAAUCAGAAUGAAUAGAAAGACAUCAACAAAAGGCCCAGUGUUGAGUAGUAAACAUACAAUGAUUUACAGAACUACCCACACCCAUGCCUAUGCUCAACUGAAUAUUGUCCCAUUUCCAUGAUUAAUGUAAACAUCAUUUAUUCAACAAAAUAUUGAGUGAAUAUCCUCUACACACUAGAUACUUAUGCAGUGGUUAUGCAGCAAGCUAGGAGGAGUUGGGGUGGGUGAGAAAUAGAGCCAGGGAAAGGGCAGCAGUGAGAAAGCAACUGUUUAAAAAGAUGGACACACUCUUAACUGGGGAGGAACAUAGAAAUCUUAACAUCCAGGCCUAGGGUGAGUGGCUAAACUCCACCCAGGCAAUGGCAUGCAAAGGGUGGUCUGAUCUGAGGAUAAGAUAGGCAAUUGUCAUGGUGCCAGGGGCAGACCUAGAGUCAGAUCAAUUGGAAAUAAGAGCACCUGGAAGAGAGGUCUAGCUGUGAAGACAGUGGGUGCAAAGUUAGAGGGUGAAACAGGUUUUAGCAGGGCUGCUUUCUUCUUGGUGGAUUCUUCAAAAUAUCAGCUUUGAGAGGUGGCAAGAAACCUAGAUGUUAGAUCCCCUAAAGUAAAGAAGCCUGAGAGAUUGAUAU